Molecule: ribosomal RNA, 253 nt
Filed under: uncultured bacterium
Lineage: Bacteria
Description: partial 16S ribosomal RNA
Rfam family: Bacterial small subunit ribosomal RNA
Source: RNAcentral
GACAGAGGGUGCAAACGUUGUUCGGAAUUACUGGGCGUAAAGCGUGUGUAGGCGGUUUGCUAAGUCGGGUGUGAAAGCCCCGGGCUCAACCCGGGAAGUGCACUCGAAACUGGCAAGCUAGAGUACUGGAGAGGUUGGUGGAAUUCUCGGUGUAGAGGUGAAAUUCGUAGAUAUCGGGAGGAACACCGGUGGCGAAGGCGGCGAUCUGGACGAUGACUGACGCUGAGACGCGAAAGCGUGGGGAGCAAACAGG